UUACGGCUAUAUCACGCUGAAAGAUCGGUUCUCGUUUGAUCACAGAAGUUAAGCAACGUCGAGACUGGUCAGUACCUAGACUGGUAACCCCUGGGCAAUACCAGGUGCUAUA
This is a non-coding RNA of Acanthosepion pharaonis, 112 nucleotides long. The record is from the annotation of a GenBank genome assembly. Lineage: Eukaryota; Metazoa; Mollusca; Cephalopoda; Sepiida; Sepiidae.